AGAGGAAAAUCCGUCGACUUUUGAAAUCGUGAGGGUUCAAGUCCCUCUAUCCCCAUCCGCA
RNAcentral lists this transfer RNA (61 nucleotides) under Anemoclema glaucifolium. Its description in RNAcentral is "tRNA-Leu". Lineage: Eukaryota; Viridiplantae; Streptophyta; Magnoliopsida; Ranunculales; Ranunculaceae. The record is from RNAcentral.